AGGACGAACGCUGGCGGCGUGCUUAACACAUGCAAGUCGAACGGUGAAGGAGAGCUUGCUCUCCGGAUCAGUGGCGAACGGGUGAGUAACACGUGAGUAACCUGCCCUUGACUCUGGGAUAAGCGUUGGAAACGACGUCUAAUACCGGAUACGAGCUUCAGCCGCAUGGCUAGGAGCUGGAAAGAAUUUCGGUCAAGGAUGGACUCGCGGCCUAUCAGCUAGUUGGUGAGGUAAUGGCUCACCAAGGCGACGACGGGUAGCCGGCCUGAGAGGUGACCGGCCACACUGGGACUGAGACACGGCCCAGACUCCUACGGGAGGCAGCAGUGGGAAUAUUGCACAAUGGCGCGAAGCCUGAUGCAGCAACGCCGCGUGGGGACGAAGGCCUUCGGUUGUAACCUCUUUAGUACGGAAGAGUCGAAAGUGAACGGUACUGACAGAAAAAGCUAACCGGCUAACUACGUAGACCAGACCAGUACCGAC
This 483-nucleotide ribosomal RNA is filed under the name uncultured soil bacterium. RNAcentral describes it as "bacterial SSU rRNA". It matches the Rfam family "Bacterial small subunit ribosomal RNA", at positions 26 to 518 of the family's 1533-position model. The record is from RNAcentral.